CGAGCGAACACGGAAGAGCCCAGCGCUGAAUCCCCCGGUCCGGUUCGGGCCGGCGGGAAAUGUAGCGUUAGGGAGCGCCCGUCAACCCGGUGCGCGCGCGGCGAGCCCAAGUCUCCCUUGAACGGUGCCACAAUCCAUAGAGGGUCCCAGGCCCGUACGGCCGCCGCCGCGCCCGAGUGGGCGUCUCCUGGGAGUCGGUCUGCUUGAGAACGCAGACCUAAGUGGGUGGUAAACUCCAUCUAAGGCUAAAUACGACCACGAGACCGAUAGCGCACAAGUACCGUGAGGGAAAGGUGAAAAGAACUUUGAAGAGAGAGUUCAAGAGUACGUGAAACUGGAGAGGUGAAAACGGAAGUGGCUCGAAAUUCCGAACGGUGGUGUUCAGUCUCACCGACCUCGGCGCCCGCGCCCGGGAGGACCCAAGGGCAUCCGCGGUCACGGCGCGCGUCGGCCCCCCCGCUCUGCGGGGGUGUGUCGGCCGCGUCGCCCGCGGUGCCCCUCCCGGUUUUGCGAUGGGAUCGGCUCGGGGCGGUGUGGAUGCACUCGCUGCCGUAGUAGGAUGUCGCGACCCGUCGGUGCGACGGUCAGUGAGGCCCUGGGGAGGCCAGCCCGGUGUCCGCGCGUCACGCACCCCUGGGGUAAAAUGCGUGCAGUACGGCCCGGACUCCCCGGUGUUCCUCUCCGUCUGCCCGGCGGUAUCGAAAGCGCGCCGGCCGCAGCCCCCCGCUGUAUCACGGCCCCAUGGCUGAACCGCCGAGGCGCCUCCCGCGGGCGCGGUCUCCCCUCGUGGGUGCCGCGCCUCUCGCGGGGCCAAAGGCGUCGGAGCGGUCCCCAGUUCGGGCAUGGCGGGGUGUGCGUAUGAAAGUCGGCCGGCUCGUCUGCGGCAUUGCCUGAUUCGGGUCCACUUCCGACCCGUCUUGAAACACGGACCAAGGAGCGUAACACAUGCGCGAGUCGAAGGGUGCUACUAAACCCGGAGGCGAAGCGAAAGCAUAAGGGGCGAUGGCAGAGUGCGGUGGUGACGCGGUGCGUGUUCGGCCCUCACGGGUCGACUCGCGUCCCGCCACCGUCCUUGGUCGUGCUCUCCGGUCGCGGUGUCAAGCCGCCUCCGGAUCCGGCCGGCCGCANCCCGGGGCACCUCAUACGGCUCUGCGGUCCUCUCCCGGUGGGGGUUCCUCUCUCUCUCGGCCAACGGCUUCGCAGCCCCGCGUGUCGGUCGCGAGGUACGGGCCCCUCUAUCGGGGUC
Molecule: ribosomal RNA, 1246 nt
Filed under: Phaulothrips kranzae
Lineage: Eukaryota; Metazoa; Arthropoda; Insecta; Thysanoptera; Phlaeothripidae
Description: partial 28S ribosomal RNA
Rfam family: Eukaryotic large subunit ribosomal RNA (bases 1-928)
Source: RNAcentral